This 19-nucleotide transfer RNA is filed under the name Linum bienne. RNAcentral's name for it is "partial tRNA-Leu". Lineage: Eukaryota; Viridiplantae; Streptophyta; Magnoliopsida; Malpighiales; Linaceae. The record is from RNAcentral.
AAAUCCUCCUCUAUCCCCA